GCCAGCACGUGCUUCCCGAGGCUGUACGCCACCUCGAACGUGAUGGCGGUGAACACAUCCUUCACGUCUUUCUGCAGGGAACAUGAACAAACAUAAAAGCUCCACUCGGCUCUUUGAAGGCCGCUCGGUUGGUCUGACUCUGAAAGUGAUGCCUAAAAGCUGCCGCAAUCAUACAGCGGGCAACCUGUGCCCCUCUGCCCAACUGAUGUCUGCCGGCACGGAGCCGAACCCACAACGUCAACACAAAGGACUUCCCUGUGUUUUCGGCUGGCCACUUGUACUUUUGCCCUUUCUCUCUCUUUUGUCUGUUAUCAGAGUGUUUUUCCACCCAUCCUCUUUCCUCAGGCAGGGCCGGUCGGAGCUUUGAACACAUUUAGGCAACAGCAGCGGAGGACCCACCCAACUCAUCAACAGUGAGGGAGGUACUGCAGGAAGGAGCGGCCGUUAGUGCAGGCAGGACAUGAGUAGACAAAAACAGAAGAUUUGGGGCUCAUUUGGGAAACGGUGCUGCACACAGAUAAAACAUGCGGCUGCUGAUAAUAUAAGAGAGUUUUAGGGAUUUUCUGAAACUAUCUGAUUGUCUUAAUAAGACUGAAAAAAAAGAAGUUUUAUUGUUAAUUAAUAUGUUAUUCUCUUGACUUAUCAAAGUUAUUAAAGUUUUGAGUUCAAAACCUAAAGAUAUUCACUUUCACUGUGAUAUUUUUUUCACAAAAAAUAUAAAGAUUUUUUGGGGUAGUUCACCUUUAAUGACAAUUCAGUGCAAACAUUAGAUGAAGAGAGAGAAUCAGGAGGACUCGCAGCCAAAGGCCUAUUGGAACCGAACCUGCGGCCAUAUUCAAGAGGACUAAAACCUUCGACUUGACCCAUUUUGAGCGUCUGCAGCCAUUCCCAGCUCUGUGGGGCUGAACUCUUCACACAGCAGCGCUUUGACCUUCAUGUUAAAAUCACAAUGUUAACAUAUUCACAAUGACAGCGCUAACAAGCUGAUGCUGAGCAGGUAUCAGCAGCAGCUGAGUCGACAGCAGUGCACAUUUUUGUCCGGCUUUGCAGGACGACAUCCUCUCAGCAGUGAGCUCACACGUCUCCGGUAAGAAGGCAAAAACAGUUAUCAGUCACUACCUGCACUGCUUAAGACUAGACUUGGUAUCACAGUGCACUUUAACCAUAUAUAGGGUUAUAAUGCUUCCAGUUAAGCAGACUGGACCGAAAAAGGCGAGAGCAUUUCCCAGUUACCAUUUUAUUUUGCAAUGAUCGAAAUGUGUGAUAAUAAUGUAGUGAGAUGUAAACAAUUAAAGACUCUUUAAUUUU
Long non-coding RNA from Pleuronectes platessa (European plaice), 1308 nucleotides. RefSeq lists it as uncharacterized. The record is from RefSeq and is a predicted model, not a curated record. Lineage: Eukaryota; Metazoa; Chordata; Actinopteri; Pleuronectiformes; Pleuronectidae. The transcript has 2 exons.